AGCAGUCGCCGCGGGAAUACGUAGGUGGCAAGCGUUGUCCGGAAUUAUUGGGCGUAAAGGGCUCGCAGGCGGUUUCUUAAGUCUGAUGUGAAAGCCCCCGGCUCAACCGGGGAGGGUCAUUGGAAACUGGGAAACUUGAGUGCAGAAGAGGAGAGUGGAAUUCCACGUGUAGCGGUGAAAUACGUAGAGAUGUGGAGGAACACCAGUGGCGAAGGCGACUCUCUGGUCUGUAACUGACGCUGAGGAGCGAAAGCGUGGGGAGCGAACAGGAUUAGAUACCCCCGUAGUCCCUGUCUCUUAUAC
Molecule: ribosomal RNA, 303 nt
Filed under: uncultured bacterium
Lineage: Bacteria
Description: partial 16S ribosomal RNA
Rfam family: Bacterial small subunit ribosomal RNA
Source: RNAcentral